Peromyscus maniculatus bairdii (prairie deer mouse) is the source of this 1154-nucleotide non-coding RNA. The record is from RefSeq and is a predicted model, not a curated record. NCBI's taxonomy places the organism in Eukaryota, Metazoa, Chordata, Mammalia, Rodentia, Cricetidae.
UAGACAGGUUCCUUUUCAGGGUUGUUAAGUCCAUGGGUCUGCAGGAGCAAGAGGAAAUCAAACCUUGAUGAACUGAAGGCUGAGGCAGGAAGUUCUCACGAGUUUGAGGACAGCUUGAGCUACACAAUGAAGAAACUGAGGUCUGAAGAGAUUACAUGCUGCUUUUUCCUGGCUAUAACCAUGGAGGUGCCAAAGAGAAGAAAAAGGAGGUUCCUGCUGUGCCAGAAACCCCUACUAGAAAAAGAGAAGAAAUUUCAGAGUUGAAGGGAAAGCUCUUGAAAAGAAAUGUUCCAGAAAAUGCCCCCAGAAGACAAAGAGGAAAAGCUUAUUGUGAAAAAACACACACUAUCACAAGGAAUACACACAGAUACACAGACCUGAGACUCCAAAGGCCAGAUGGGUCUCAUGCAGACCAGCUGGCUUUGAACUAGCUAUGAAACUGAAGAUGACCCUGAACCCCUGACUCUCCUUCCUCCAUGUUCCAGAACACUUGAGUUACAGGCUGAUGCCACCGUGCUGGGUCUUCAGCCUCCGUAUCUGGAGCCUCAGUUUCCCUCCAGCUGCCCACAUCAAGGUCCAGACUGGAGUCCCAGGAGCUGAAGAGGGACCUGCAGUCAUUGCUCAGCUCAGAGUCAUCACGAUAGUCAUGUCCAGAAUCCAACCAAACCCACUCACACCCCAUCUGGAAACAUACAGAAAAAUGCAUUAAAUUAACUCAAAUAAAAACAAAACAAAUUAAAAUAAACACUCUCAAUACACCCCUAUCUUUCAAGUUCAUAGAAAGGGUCCAGAAAUUUCUAUUCAUUAGGAGGCAUAAGAGCCAGCUAAAGGGAGACAUUAGAUGAAAAUUUUAUCUUUUGGAUAAAAAAAAACUUCAGGUUUGUAUUACCCCAUUUUUAAACUUGGAGAUCUUCAUCUCCAAAAAGGUGGUGGGGAUUGAAGCAUACCUGCCUUAACAGACUUGCUUUAUCACAAAUCAUCCAUGAACACAACCACAAGGCAAUAAACUUGAGAAUAAAGAUUUUCCUCAGAGUAUACACAUUUUAAUCUAUUAUGAACUUAUUAACCAUUAGUUUCAAAACAAUCAUGGUUACCUUUGGCAUCCUUCUGGUCAUAUCUGACUGUCAGAAUAAAAACAGAAACACUUUUUUAUU